This 485-nucleotide ribosomal RNA is filed under the name Salmonella bongori. RNAcentral's name for it is "partial 23S ribosomal RNA". It matches the Rfam family "Bacterial large subunit ribosomal RNA", at positions 711 to 1194 of the family's 2925-position model. The record is from RNAcentral. Lineage: Bacteria; Pseudomonadati; Pseudomonadota; Gammaproteobacteria; Enterobacterales; Enterobacteriaceae.
AGACCCGAAACCCGGUGAUCUAGCCAUGGGCAGGUUGAAGGUUGGGUAACACUAACUGGAGGACCGAACCGACUAAUGUUGAAAAAUUAGCGGAUGACCUGUGGCUGGGGGUGAAAGGCCAAUCAAACCGGGAGAUAGCUGGUUCUCCCCGAAAGCUAUUUAGGUAGCGCCUCGUGAAGUCAUCUCCGGGGGUAGAGCACUGUUUCGGCUAGGGGGCCAUCCCGGCUUACCAACCCGAUGCAAACUGCGAAUACCGGAGAAUGUUAUCACGGGAGACACACGGCGGGUGCUAACGUCCGUCGUGAAGAGGGAAACAACCCAGACCGCCAGCUAAGGUCCCAAAGUCAUGGUUAAGUGGGAAACGAUGUGGGAAGGCCCAGACAGCCAGGAUGUUGGCUUAGAAGCAGCCAUCAUUUAAAGAAAGCGUAAUAGCUCACUGGUCGAGUCGGCCUGCGCGGAAGAUGUAACGGGGCUAAACCAUGCAC